Molecule: long non-coding RNA, 511 nt
Filed under: Elaeis guineensis (African oil palm)
Lineage: Eukaryota; Viridiplantae; Streptophyta; Magnoliopsida; Arecales; Arecaceae
Description: long non-coding RNA (EGUI_LNC009903)
Source: RNAcentral
AUAGUGACGUUUGUAACCGUCUGGCAGUGGGCCGUUCGGGGCCAGAAGAAGUUUGUUUUGAAGAGUAGUGGAGUGGAAUCGUGGCCAUCACCGUGACCUGCCACGUGGAGUCUGUUGCGGGGAGUGGAGCGACAUCCUUUGUCGUGACUUGCCAGAGAGUGGAGGAGCCAUGCGGUAUCCAUCGCAGGAAGUGGAGCAGAGUCAUGGUCAUUAUUAUGGUCUGCCAGGGAGUGAUGGAGCCAUGCGAAUCCAUCGCAGGAAGUGGAGCAGAGUCAUGUCGUUACUAUGGCCUACCAGGGAGUGAUGGAGCCAUGAGAAAUUCAUUGCAGGAAGUGGAGCAGAGUCAUGGCCGUUACUAUGGCCUACCGGGGGGUUCAGACCUGUCGGUCGAAGUUCGGUUGGAGUCCGAUCUCCAUAGAAGCCCAGAUGGAGAUCAUUUGUCGAGGAAUCUCAAUCAAGGCCUGUCUGCAAUAGAAAUCCGAAAGAAAUUCAUCCACAAUGAAUCCGGCAC